AGGGGGGAUAACAUCCGGAAACGGGUGCUAAUACCGCAUAGUUUUCUUGAUCGCAUGAUCGGGAAAGGAAAGACGGCCUUUGUGCUGUCGCUUAUGGAUGGACCCGCGGCGUAUUAGUUAGUUGGUGAGGUAACGGCUCACCAAGACGAUGAUACGUAGCCGACCUGAGAGGUGAUCGGCCACAUUGGGACUGAGACACGGCCCAAACUCCUACGGGAGGCAGCAGUAGGGAAUCUUCCGCAAUGGACGAAAGUCUGACGGAGCAACGCCGCGUGAGUGAAGAAGGGUUUUUUCCGGAUCGCAAAACUCUGUUGUCAGAGAAGAACAAGUUGGAGAGUAACUGCUCCAGCCUUGACGGUAUCUGACCAGAAAGCCACGGCUAACUACGUGCCAGCAGCCGC
This 401-nucleotide ribosomal RNA is filed under the name uncultured bacterium. RNAcentral's name for it is "bacterial SSU rRNA". It matches the Rfam family "Bacterial small subunit ribosomal RNA", at positions 135 to 518 of the family's 1533-position model. The record is from RNAcentral.